Molecule: long non-coding RNA, 737 nt
Filed under: Homo sapiens (human)
Lineage: Eukaryota; Metazoa; Chordata; Mammalia; Primates; Hominidae
Description: HSALNT0309337
Source: RNAcentral
ACCUCCUCACCUCUCCUGAGUCCUCCUUCUUCACUUCAUCCGCAUCCUCUCUACUGACACCAUGGGCUGCUGUGGUUGUGGAAGUUGUGGUGGCUGUGGUGGUGGCUGUGGUGGCUGCGGUGGUGGCUGCGGUGGUGGCUGCGGUGCUGCACCACCUGCAGGUGCUACCGGGUGGGCUGCUGCUCCAGCUGCUGCCCCUGCUGCCGCGGCUGCUGUGGAGGCUGUUGCAGCACACCUGUGAUCUGCUGCUGCCGCCGCACCUGCCGCUCAUGUGGCUGUGGCUGUAGGAAGGGCUGUUGCCAGCAGAAGUGCUGCUGCCAGAAGCAAUGCUGCUGUUAGGUAGGGCCCUCAGCCUCUGGCAGCUGCUGCAGGUAACUGCUGUAGGUAAGCUUUCCCCUUCUGGCUGCCACUGACUAAUAGGACACAAGCAUGACCUGAACCUGUCACCUGCCCGUGAGUAUUUCACAUUUCUAUAGUUUUUUUGUGAUUCUGCCUGCAUUUAAUCAUCAUCACCAACAAAAAUAACAACCAUGCAGCCUUCUAUGUUGAUUACAACUCAAGUCAUGACCUCAACAAAAUGGAGUGAAGAUAGUUAGACCUUGAAAUGCCUCUAAGGUUGCCUUCAUUUCUGUGCUGUUUUUACCGCUGCCUGGGUAUAUUUGUAUACACAAAGCAACACUUAUCUUAAUAAAUUAUACUAAAUCAUUCUCAAAGAGCUAUCUCUUUUGUUCUUUCCA